GUGUUGUAUCAAAAGAAAGAAGGUUAGCACUCCCCUUGACAGGGAUGGAAGAGGCCCUUGGUCCUGACAACAUGCAUAUUGUUAAGGCAUUGCCACCUACUUCAUGGCAUCUAACCCUUGUUUUUA
Molecule: small nuclear RNA, 126 nt
Organism: Cavia porcellus (domestic guinea pig)
Lineage: Eukaryota; Metazoa; Chordata; Mammalia; Rodentia; Caviidae
Source: Ensembl